UACGUAGGGUGCGAGCGUUAAUCGGAAUUACUGGGCGUAAAGCGUGCGCAGGCGGCUUUGCAAGACAGAUGUGAAAUCCCCGGGCUCAACCUGGGAACUCCAUUUGUGACUGCAAGGCUAGAGUACGGCAGAGGGGGAUGGAAUUCCGCGUGUAGCAGUGAAAUGCGUAGAUAUGCGGAGGAACACCAAUGGCGAAGGCAAUCCCCUGGGCCUGUACUGACGCUCAUGCACGAAAGCGUGGGGAGCAAACAGG
Molecule: ribosomal RNA, 253 nt
Filed under: uncultured bacterium
Lineage: Bacteria
Description: partial 16S ribosomal RNA
Rfam family: Bacterial small subunit ribosomal RNA
Source: RNAcentral